Molecule: ribosomal RNA, 253 nt
Filed under: uncultured bacterium
Lineage: Bacteria
Description: partial 16S ribosomal RNA
Rfam family: Bacterial small subunit ribosomal RNA
Source: RNAcentral
UACGGAGGGAGCUAGCGUUGUUCGGAAUUACUGGGCGUAAAGCGCACGUAGGCGGCUAUUCAAGUCGGGGGUGAAAGCCCGGGGCUCAACCCCGGAACUGCCCUCGAAACUAGAUAGCUAGAAUCUUGGAGGGGCGAGUGGAAUUCCGAGUGUAGAGGUGAAAUUCGUAGAUAUUCGGAAGAACACCAGUGGCGAAGGCGACUCGCUGGACAAGUAUUGACGCUGAGGUGCGAAAGCGUGGGGAGCAAACAGG